Molecule: ribosomal RNA, 447 nt
Filed under: uncultured bacterium
Lineage: Bacteria
Description: partial 16S ribosomal RNA
Rfam family: Bacterial small subunit ribosomal RNA
Source: RNAcentral
AACGAACGCUGGCGGCAGGCCUAACACAUGCAAGUCGAACGCUCCGCAAGGGGAGUGGCGCACGGGUGAGUAACGCGUGGGAAUCUACCUAUUAGUAAGGAAUAACAGUUGGAAACGACUGCUAAUACCUUAUACGCCCUACGGGGGAAAGAUUUAUCGCUAAUAGAUGAGCCCGCGUAAGAUUAGCUAGUUGGUGAGGUAAUGGCUCACCAAGGCUACGAUCUUUAGCUGGUCUGAGAGGAUGAUCAGCCACACUGGAACUGAGACACGGUCCAGACUCCUACGGGAGGCAGCAGUGGGGAAUAUUGGACAAUGGGCGAAAGCCUGAUCCAGCCAUGCCGCGUGAAUGAUGAAGGCCUUAGGGUUGUAAAGUUCUUUCGCCGCCGAGGAUAAUGACGGUACCCGCAAAAGAAGUCACGGCUAACUUCGUGCCAGCCGCCGCUGUAA